This 326-nucleotide ribosomal RNA is filed under the name uncultured eukaryote. RNAcentral describes it as "partial 18S ribosomal RNA". It matches the Rfam family "Eukaryotic small subunit ribosomal RNA", at positions 1470 to 1796 of the family's 1831-position model. The record is from RNAcentral.
CCCUUAGAUGUCCUGGGCCGCACGCGCGCUACACUGAACGGAUCAGCGCGUUUUCCCUUCCCGAGAGGGACGGGUAACCUGCUGAACCCCGUUCGUGGUAGGGAUCGGGGCUUGCAAUUAUUCCCCGUGAACCAGGAAUGCCCAGUAAGUGCAAGUCAUAAGCUUGCGUUGAUUACGUCCCUGCCCUUUGUACACACCGCCCGUCGCUACUACCGAUUGAACGUUUUAGUGAGGUACUCGGACUGAGCCUCAGAAGAUUCACGUCUUUUUUGCUGCUCGGGAAGAUUCCCAAACUUGAGCGUUUAGAGGAAGUAAAAGUCGUANCA